CCGUAAAAGAAAAAGAUUUUGAAAAAUUAAUUCUUGAAAACGAGAAAUUGAAAGAGGAAAACCACUUUUACGGCAAAAGAAGUGCCGAUAAACCGGAAAGCUCAAACAAAAGUUGUUCUUCUUGAAAAUCCUUAAAAGAAGAGGUAGAUAGACUUAAAAGCACUUUGCACAAGUUCAAUUCUUCACACAAAAACCUCAAUGAUGUGCUUGUCAACUUGAAAUCCACUAAGCACGGCAUAGGCUUUAAAAAUGAAGAAAAAGUUGAGUCCAUUCAUAAAUCGCCUNNNNNNN
This 291-nucleotide long non-coding RNA is filed under the name Nicotiana benthamiana. RNAcentral's name for it is "long non-coding RNA (NBEN_LNC022539)". The record is from RNAcentral. Lineage: Eukaryota; Viridiplantae; Streptophyta; Magnoliopsida; Solanales; Solanaceae.